UCACAUAUUUUCUUGUUUAUCAAUGCUUAGCUACUUCUUCAUGAUUAUUGAUCCAUGUUUUCAAGCAGUAUCUUUUUAUGUUGGCUCUUUAUUGUUUGUGCUAAUACUUUAGAAUCUCUUGAUUGUUUUUGUAUCUGAUUGCUGCAGCAUGGGUCUAGACUUGGUCAAGGCCGGAGUCAUUGAACCUGCCAUGUGCAAAGUAAAAAUAAUUCAAACACGAUGCUUGACACAACCUUUUAUGUUUGCUACGGAAGCUGUUAUUACUAUCCUUCGGAUCGAUGACAUGAUCAAGCUUUUCAAAGAUGAAAGUCUGAAUGGGGAGGAUUGAGUUGGGUUCUAGGCGAUCGCUGCAUGGUGUACUGUUGGAAUGGUUUUAAACCUCCCCUUCGGAAAGUUAGGGUUAAGUUUUUCUUGUGUUCGUUUUUUUUUAAAAAAAAUUAAUAGGGAUUGAAUUAUUUUACAGGACGAAUAUGACAACUGAUCGUCACGUUUGUUAAUCUUUUCCUUAAGGGGAAAUUGAUUUUCAGUAGAUGAAACCGAUAUCCAUGAGGUUGCACAGAGGGAAAGAGAGGAUGAUGCUUGGUGAAAUUAUUUACGAUUGGUGAUUUAAUUUAAAUUGAUGUACUAUGUUUUAUUGAAAUAAAAGAAAAUUGUUGUA
This is a long non-coding RNA of Salvia splendens (bonfire salvia), 658 nucleotides long. RefSeq lists it as uncharacterized. The transcript is spliced from 3 exons. Lineage: Eukaryota; Viridiplantae; Streptophyta; Magnoliopsida; Lamiales; Lamiaceae. The record is from RefSeq and is a predicted model, not a curated record.